This is a non-coding RNA of Caenorhabditis elegans, 21 nucleotides long. NCBI's taxonomy places the organism in Eukaryota, Metazoa, Nematoda, Chromadorea, Rhabditida, Rhabditidae. The record is from Ensembl.
UAUCAAUUUUUCGAACACAUU